AGACAGAGAGAGAGACAGAGAGAGAGAGAGACAGAGAGAGAGAGAGAGAGAGACAGAGAGAGAGAGACCUGACCAGGGAAGCUGGUUAGAGAAAUGCAACAAGGCCGGCUCUGAAGGUGGAGGAAGGGAGGCAGGAGCCCAGGGAUGCGGUGGCCUCUGCAAGCUGGAGAAAGAAUCUGUUUCCGGGGGAAUCUAAGUGACGAAGACACAGGGCAAAGCCGGGGGACUCAGUGAGCCUAGAAGAGGGGCCACCUAGCCCAGCUGGGACAGAGUUCCAGAAAAGAUCCCUAAAGCAAGGGAAAUGUCGAUUGAUACUUCAAGCACGAAUGGGAGUCAGUCAGCCAAAGGCGGGUGAGCAGAGAGAGAAGAGGGACAAGAGUUCCAGCAGGGGGACUAGCAGCCAAGUCUUCUGCUGCAAAAUGCAAGAAUGCCAUUCUUACGUGCUGGUGAAAGGCAAGUAAGUAUAGGCUCUCCCAUGCCAGACAGUAAUAAUUGUAAUAAACUGGGGCUGCCGCCAAAAUUGAAAUCAACAAAUGAUUACAGAGACAAUGGAAGCUCAGACCUGACCCUGAUGAAUGAAGUUGCCAACGUGGCUUCCUGGGGUGGAUGUCAGCCAGAGGCUUCCCCUGUGACUUGCAGUAGGUUCUCGUGACAGCCGUAAGUAGUUUGGGGACUUAGAGAGGCAAAAGCGUGCUUAUGGGGCUGGGGAGCGGGUGCAGAUGGGGUGGGUUGGUGGAGUCUGGAGUCUCCAUGGCCAGCAGAAGGAGGAACUUGGUGGAGAGAGGAGCUCGUAGGGGGUUCGUGAGAGGAUAGAAAUGGAGAGCAUUUGAGGUGGGGCAUGAGGCGACCGGCCUAGCCAUCUCAGACAGAGCCCGUCACCCAGCCCAGAACUGAGCACCCCUGGUGGGAGUCUGACCAACAAAGUGACAGGAACAGCCAGGCCCAGGUUCCAAGCCUGGCUCCAGCAACCCACACUCGUGGAAAAUGUCGGUGUGGGUUGGGGGAUGGCCAGGAACCCAGGCAACACGAAACACGCCCUGCCCCUUUGCUCCCUGGCUUCGUGUCCUCUCCAGGUGGUGUCCCCACUGCCAGUUUGUAUGCACAGCCUGUGUCCUUCCCCUCUCGGGUGGCCUUUCCUCCUCCUGUUUCUAAGCCUUACUUGGGUCCAGCUGCGCCCUUCUCAGAUUUCUGUCCUCAGAGCUCCUACAACGCUCCUCUGUACCCUGGGAGGGUGACAUACAAAACCUGCCUGUGUCCACCCCUCCUGUGUCAGACCUAGUAGGUGGAGCCUCAGUGCUCAUUCAUCUUUGCAGCACUGAUGCUACUUCCCCCUCCUCCAGGAAGCCUUCCUUGACCUCUCCACUGAGCUGAUGACCUCCUCCUUUGCCUUCUUCUGUGGAACCUGUCAUGUUCUUAUCAUGUCAGGUUCUUAUCAUCAUGCCAGGCUCAGAGUUGGACUGUUUACGAGUCAAUCCUCCGUUCCAGAUGCCCGACCUCUGCAGCCACACCUGUGUCUCUUGCUCCGGAAUGAUAACCUCAUACCUAGCCCCAGCCGUGGCACUUCACAGACUCUCAAGGAACAUCUGCUGAACACGAUCAACAAAGACCUUUCUCCUGGAGUUGUUCAGAAAAUUAAAUGAGAAUGAUGGAAGACAAGCACCUGUAUCAGUCAAGAUUCAAGCAGGGAAGAAAAGCCACUAAGAAUGGCGUAAAAUAAAGGCUUGCUCAACGAGGCUUUGUCUCGUGCAGCUGUGGGGGCUGGUGGAGCUGUCCAGGGGAGGCUGUUGUCUCUGUGUUUGGGGCUGCAGUCCAUGGGGCAAGCUGGCGGGGAAGGAAAGACGGACGUACACUGGACAGCAGGGACAAGCCGGAAUUCAAGUGGCAGCGCACAAGGACUUGCUGAAUCCGUGUGGGUCAACACCCAAUCGGAUCUUGGAAGCUGCAUGUUGACUAUGGCGGAGCCUCCCCCAGCCUGGGGCUCUGAGUGCCCGAGUGGAGCAGAG
This is a non-coding RNA of Microcebus murinus (gray mouse lemur), 2003 nucleotides long. NCBI's taxonomy places the organism in Eukaryota, Metazoa, Chordata, Mammalia, Primates, Cheirogaleidae. The record is from RefSeq and is a predicted model, not a curated record.